Arachis ipaensis is the source of this 2680-nucleotide non-coding RNA. NCBI's taxonomy places the organism in Eukaryota, Viridiplantae, Streptophyta, Magnoliopsida, Fabales, Fabaceae. The record is from RefSeq and is a predicted model, not a curated record.
ACGACAAUAGCCUGUCUUCCAUCAACACUCCUCCAUGAAAAUCGUAUUUUCGAAAAACCCAAUUAAUAUUCUAAAUUCUCGAUCUACUUCUUCUUCCCUUUUUCUCUUCCAUUUCCGUUCCAAUGUUUUCAAAAGACGCAGCUUUGUUCUCAGUUCCAGCAGAAAAUGGACCCUUGGAACCAAAUCUCUCAAAUUAUCGUCUUCUCCCUUAAGAGCUUCGUGUGCUCCUAUCUCAACUGUCUAUGGCGGCUGGGACGAGGUUGCAGUCGCCGGUGACUCCGAUUCGCUGCGCAGUUUUCUCGCUUCCAUUGGAAUCGAUGAUAGGAAGAAUGUUUUCGUGUUCAUCUUGGGCGUUGUUUGCGCCAUGGCGAUUUCCAGGGUUAGGGUUUCUUCCAUCAUUGUUAUUCCAGCUUCAGCUCUUGUUUUUGCGGUUGGUUUCGCCGUAGGGUUUUUCCGAAGCGGUGCCUUCGGUGACGCCAGGAUUAGCGGGACCAAGAGGAAAGAGAAGGACGAGAAUUCGAAGCUGUUUUCGGAGAAAUUGAGGAGCUUGUUGGAAUUCUUCGAUGAACUCGAUGGUGUGGUCAAUAACAUGAAGAGCGAUGUACAAUUUGCCAUCAGGAAUAAGAAAAUUGAAGAGAGUGAUUUCUUUGGGUAUGUUGAUGUCACAGAUAAAAUAAAGUUGAAGGCUUUGAAUGCUAGGAAUAUUGUGAAGGCUUUAAUUGAUAAUGAGGGAAAUUCUAAUGGGGCUUUUGUUGAGAACAAUAAAGGUAGUAGAAGAAAGAAAGAUGCUGGAGAAGCUGGGUACCAGAUGCUACAAUCUAUUGGAAGUUUGUUUGGAGAAAAAUCAGUUACCUCGAAUUCUAACAAAGUCAGAGAAAAUGUUAAGCAAGAGACAGUGGAUAGAGCAUUGGAUCAAGCACCAGGAAAUGGUACUGUGCCUCCUGUUGAAGAUAAGGCUUCAAAUUCAGAUAGUAGAGGGAAUGGUAAGUUGGAUUCUUCUCUAGAUUCUUCAAUUAGCUCUGUUUCGGAUAUGUACAGAAAUGGAAGAAAAAAGGGUACUGCUGAGAAUGAUGAUUUUGGAUUAGGAGGUGUUGGCAGGAAAACUAAUAAAUUUCGUGAUGAGAAAGAAUAUAGUUACCGGAACAAAGGAUUGAGGUUCACAAAUAAUCGCAGUUUCUCUCUGAAGAUGGAUUCGAGCAGUGUAACAGACAUGUGGGAAUCUCAUGACAAUCUGCUUGAUUCUGAAAGCAUGAAAGUCAGAAUGGAACACAUGGAAAGUGAAUCUUCCUUUGUGCAGGAGCAGUUGCUCAAUCAAGGGCACAAAACUUUCACGUCUUCUUAUGACAAGAGGGAUGAUGAGCCUCGUAGGUCUCAAUUUGAAGAAGAUGCAAUGAAUUAUGAUCAUCGCAAUCAGCAUCAUGAUGAUGACUUGCCUGGGCGUGAGAGUGAAUUCAAUGCUUCUUCAUCUGCAAAGACAUCAGAUGAUGAAAUGUUUGGUAGGUUCCUUGCUGAAGCAACCGAACUUCAAAAGCAAGCAAAAGUGUUUAUAAAGGCUAGGCAUGAUGAAGAGCAAGCUGAAAUCAUGUUAUAUAGGUCUGCUAACCUAUUUUCCAAAGCUUUAGACCUGAAGCCUAUGAGUUUAUUGGCUGUAGGCCAGUUAGGAAACACUUAUCUUCUUCAUGGAGAAUUAAAGUUGAAGAUCAGUCGUGAACUGCGAGGUCUACUUUCAGGUAGCAUCCAACCAUCAUCUGGGAGACGUCGUAGAGUACUGAAGGGAAUGCAGAAAAAAAUCACUAGUAAAGAAGAAGUUGCACCAUUGCUUAUUGAUGUAUGUGAAGAAUGUGAAGAGCUUCUGGUUGAGGCUGGCAGAAAGUAUAGGCUGGCAUUGUCAAUUGAUGCGAAUGAUGUGAGAGCCCUGUAUAAUUGGGGCCUUGCUCUCUCUUUUCGUGGGCAAUUGAUAGCAGACAUUGGUCCGUUAUUGUUGUCUUCAAAUAUCACAGGGUGCUGCUUUUGAGGCUGAAAGAGUAUUCCUGGCUGCUAUUGACAAGUUUGAUGCUAUGUUGUUGAAGGGCAAUGUUUAUGCACCAGAUGCUUUGUUCAGAUGGGGUGUGGCAUUGCAGCAGAGAUCUCGGUUAAGGCCAGGAACCAGUAAAGAGAAGGUGAAGUUGCUGCAGCAAGCAAGAAGGCUCUAUGAAGAUGCCCUUCAUAUGGAUUCCAAUAACAUGCAAGCUAAAGAAGCUUUAUCCUCUUGUCUCUAUGAGCUCAAUUACCGGUAAUUCUAGCAGUCAAUUCAUCAUGGAAAGGAGUUAUCCAAGGGAAUCAAUCUGCUUUCAGUCCCCUGGUUUGCAUAAUAAUUUGGGCAUAGUGGAACUUAGCCAUGCAUGAUUCCUAGUAUUGUCUUUUUUGUAUUGAUUCUCCUUAUAGUUAGACAGAGACACCAAAAUAAUAAUAAUUAAUAAUAACGAGGGUGCUACACAAUCUACAGAAUGAGUUCUAUUCUUGGAGAGCACUUAGGAGGCUAGGAGAGUAAUUUUGACUACCUGAUAAUAACAACGGGGACAUAGCCUUGGUUUUGGGUUUUUGGGUUUACAUUGUAUUAUAUGAUAUGAAUCCUGAAGUGAAGAUGGAAAAAAGCAUGUGGUUUUGAUUAUGGGUGAAAGAAAUAAAUUGUAGUUGUGAA